GGGGAUGUAGCUCAGUUGGCUAGAGCGCUUGACUGGCAGUCAAGAGGUCGUCGGUUCGAAUCCGAUCUUCUCCACAA
This 77-nucleotide transfer RNA is filed under the name Hyunsoonleella pacifica. Its description in RNAcentral is "tRNA-Ala". It matches the Rfam family "tRNA". From Rfam's summary of the family: Transfer RNA (tRNA) molecules are approximately 80 nucleotides in length. Their secondary structure includes four short double-helical elements and three loops (D, anti-codon, and T loops). Lineage: Bacteria; Pseudomonadati; Bacteroidota; Flavobacteriia; Flavobacteriales; Flavobacteriaceae. The record is from RNAcentral. RNAcentral also lists the same sequence under 2 other names.